This is a long non-coding RNA of Siniperca chuatsi (mandarin fish), 575 nucleotides long. RefSeq lists it as uncharacterized. The record is from RefSeq and is a predicted model, not a curated record. The transcript has 3 exons. Lineage: Eukaryota; Metazoa; Chordata; Actinopteri; Centrarchiformes; Sinipercidae.
CUGGCUGCACAGAAGUGUUAAUGUUUAUCAUCAACUAAAGUUUUUUGUCAUUUCUGUCCCUGAUAUGUCAGGAAAACUCAGUUCAACCCAGUCAUCCGGAACAUAUUUCGCUGUGUCUUCAGAAGAUUCUUACAUGCAAACGGCUGUGACCAAGGAACUUUCCCCAGGGACCAGGAACCUUUGGAGGAACUCCAACCGCAGGGACCAAUUAAAUUUUUUACCCCCAAAAAAGGUCCCUACAUCGGGGAGUAAUACUUUUCAAAAGUACCAGGACUUUCUGGGUGGGGCUUACAGCACUGAACAUUUCUGAUUGGUCAAGCUCCAACCGGAGCAGCGGUGGUUUGACUGUCUGGAUCGAUGCGUUGCUGGGUCACAGGCCGGGCUUCUCUGGCGCAGCGGCUCAGCUACUGCACUGUUGAAGCCAUGGUGGAAGACACGAUAAUUUUUUUUCAACAUGUUUUUCAGAUGAAACGGACAGAUAAAGUGAACUGCAGGCUGCAGACAAGUGUGUUUACUCCUGCAACCAACAACAGCCUUCGUCCCAUGUCUCCUGCUGAAGCACACAAACGCUGUAU